GGGGGGGGGGGGGGGGGGGGGGGGGGGGGGGGGGGGGGGGGGGGGGGGGGGGCUUGCGCCGGGGUUCGGCGGCGGACGGGUGGGUAGUGCCUGGGAAUCUGCCUGGUAGUGGGGGGUGACGUCCGGCAGCGGGCGCUAAUACCGCCUACGUCCUGAGGGCGAAAGUGGGGGAUCUUCGGACCUCCCGCUAUCGGAUGAGCCUAGGUCGGAUUAGCUAGUUGGUGGGGUAAAGGCCUACCAAGGCGACGAUCCGUAACUGGUCUGAGAGGAUGAUCAGUCACACUGGAACUGAGACACGGUCCAGACUCCUACGGGAGGCAGCAGUGGGGAAUAUUGGACAAUGGGCGAAAGCCUGAUCCAGCCAUGCCGCGUGUGUGAAGAAGGUCUUCGGAUUGUAAAGCACUUUAAGUUGGGAGGAAGGGCAGUAAGUUAAUACCUUGCUGUUUUGACGUUACCAACAGAAUAAGCACCGGCUAACUUCGUG
Molecule: ribosomal RNA, 484 nt
Filed under: uncultured bacterium
Lineage: Bacteria
Description: partial 16S ribosomal RNA
Rfam family: Bacterial small subunit ribosomal RNA
Source: RNAcentral